CCUACGGGUGGCAGCAGUGGGGGAUAUUGCACAAUGGGGGGAACCCUGAUGCAGCGACGCCGCGUGGGUGAAGGAGUGCUUCGGCAUGUAAAGCCCUAUCGGCAGGGAAGAAGCAAGACGGUACCUGACUAAGAAGCACCGGCUAACUACGUGCCAGCAGCCGCGGUAAUACGUAGGGGGCGAGCGUUAGUCGGAUUCACUGGGUGUAAAGGGAGCGUAGACGGCCAUGCAAGCCAGGGGUGAAAGCCCGGGGCCCAACCCCGGGACUGCCCUUGGAACUGUGCGGCUAGAGUGCGUGAGGGGCAGGCGGAAUUCCAGGUGUAGCGGUGAAAUGCGUAGAUAUCAGGAGGAACACCGGCGGCGAAGGCGGCCUGCUGGACUGCGACUGACGUUGAGGCGCGAAAGCGUGGGGAGCGAACAGGAUUAGAUACCCUAGUAGUC
This 441-nucleotide ribosomal RNA is filed under the name uncultured bacterium. Its description in RNAcentral is "partial 16S ribosomal RNA". It matches the Rfam family "Bacterial small subunit ribosomal RNA", at positions 338 to 795 of the family's 1533-position model. The record is from RNAcentral.